RNAcentral lists this long non-coding RNA (366 nucleotides) under Sorghum bicolor (sorghum). RNAcentral's name for it is "long non-coding RNA (SBIC_LNC013452)". Lineage: Eukaryota; Viridiplantae; Streptophyta; Magnoliopsida; Poales; Poaceae. The record is from RNAcentral.
GCAUAUAAUAAAAUUAUUAAUAUAUAUGCAACAAGAUCCGGUUCAAUUGCCCAGUUACCUUGCGCAGUCACGUUGAUUUGAUUGAGAUGGGGUAGCUUGUGAUCUGGAAAAAGGUCACAUUAUUGGUAAGAGGGGGCCAUGCUUGAUGCAUGUGUGCGUAUAUAGGGUCUGGCAUCAACUUGGCGUGCGUUAUAAUAUGACAGUAUAUAUAAUUAAAUUUGAGAUCCAGAUUGGAUGCACUAAUAAUUAAGCAGGCACCAUAAUCCUUUUACCAUUUUCAGUUUAGUGACACAUGCAUGUUUGUCUUAAUGAUAUUCUACGGCCGGAAUAUAUAAUCUGUCAAUUUUUGUCCUACGAUAGCAGUUG